GGGGUUGUAGCUCAGUGGUAGAGUGCUCACCUUGCAGGUGGAAGGCAAAGGGUUCAAUCCUUAGCACCA
Molecule: transfer RNA, 69 nt
Filed under: Marmota marmota marmota (Alpine marmot)
Lineage: Eukaryota; Metazoa; Chordata; Mammalia; Rodentia; Sciuridae
Also listed under: 1 other name
Rfam family: tRNA
About the family: Transfer RNA (tRNA) molecules are approximately 80 nucleotides in length. Their secondary structure includes four short double-helical elements and three loops (D, anti-codon, and T loops). Further hydrogen bonds mediate the characteristic L-shaped molecular structure. tRNAs have two regions of fundamental functional importance: the anti-codon, which is responsible for specific mRNA codon recognition, and the 3' end, to which the tRNAs corresponding amino acid is attached (by aminoacyl-tRNA synthetases). tRNAs cope with the degeneracy of the genetic code in two manners: having more than one tRNA (with a specific anti-codon) for a particular amino acid; and 'wobble' base-pairing, i.e. permitting non-standard base-pairing at the 3rd anti-codon position.
Source: Rfam by way of RNAcentral